GUUUUUUUCCACUGCUAAACACAAGAGAGUGUGUAUGUGAGAGAUCUUUCAGUUGGUUUAAUCACACACAGGAUAAGAGAGUAUAAUAACAUAAUUAGGCUUUUAGUUAGGCUGUUACUGCAUUUUUUGUUUUGGUGUUGAGAAACUGGAGGUAGGAAGAAGUGAAAUGAAAUGAGGGAUGUUAUCAAGGCUGAUAAAUUUCCUGAAGGCCUGUUGGCGGCCAUCGUCAGAUCAUUCUGUACAUGCUGGUUCGGAUGCAGCUGGACGACAAGAUGGACUUUUUUGGUAUAAG
This 292-nucleotide unclassified non-coding RNA is filed under the name Hevea brasiliensis (rubber tree). Lineage: Eukaryota; Viridiplantae; Streptophyta; Magnoliopsida; Malpighiales; Euphorbiaceae. The record is from RNAcentral.